Molecule: ribosomal RNA, 406 nt
Filed under: uncultured bacterium
Lineage: Bacteria
Description: partial 16S ribosomal RNA
Rfam family: Bacterial small subunit ribosomal RNA
Source: RNAcentral
AUUGAACGCUGGCGGCAUGCUUUACACAUGCAAGUCGAACGAGUGGCGAAAGGGUGAGUAAUAUAUCGGAACGUACCGAGUAAUGGGGGAUAACCAAUCGAAAGAUUGGCUAAUACCGCAUAUUAUUCGAGCGGCAGAUAACUGAUUAGCUAGUUGGUGGGGUAAAGGCCUACCAAGGCGACUAUCAGUAGCGGGUCUGAGAGUACGAUCCGCCACACUGGGACUUAGACACGGCCCAGACUCCUACGUGAGGCAGCAGUGGUGAAUUUUGGACAAUUGGGGCAACCCUGAUCCAGCCAUGCCGCUUGUAUGAAGAAGGCCUUCGGGUUUUAAAGUACUUUUGUUAAGGAAGCGGUACCUAAUGAAUAAGCACCGGCUAACUACGUGCCAGCCGCCGCGGUAAUAC